ACUCUAAGCGGUGGAUCACUCGGCUCAUGGGUCGAUGAAGAACGCAGCAAACUGUGCGUCAUCGUGUGAACUGCAGGACACAUGAACAUCGACAUUUUGAACGCAUAUCGCAGUCCAUGCUGUUAUGUACUUUAAUUAAUUUUAUAGUGCUGCUUGGACUACAUAUGGUUGAGGGUUGUAAGACUAUGCUAAUUAAGUUGCUUAUACAAAUUUUAUAAUGAAAUUUUAUAAGCAUAUGGUAUAUUAUUGGAUAAUAAUAAUUUAAUUAUUUUAUUCAUAAUAUUAAAAAAUAUAUGAAAAACAUUAUCUCACAUUAGUAAAUAAUUUGAAUGUGAAAAACGAAGAGAAAUAUUUUCUUUUUCAAUCAAAUGAUACUGAGAAAUGUCUAGCAUAAAAAUUUAUCUAGAAUUGUCUCUUAUUAAUGAUUAGAAAAUAGAAAACCGUUGACAAUAUUAUUGUUCUUCGUUGAUUCGUUAAAUCAAACAAAUGCCAUUUAUAUACAGAUAUUAUUAAUAUAACGAAUUUAAUAAAAUGUUUUAUCAUUAUAUAUAAAGAAUUAAUUGCAUAUAAAAGUUAUACACAACCUCAACUCAUAUGGGACUACCCCCUGAAUUUAAGCAUAUUAAUUAGGGGAGGAAAAGAAACUAACAAGGAUUUUCUUAGUAGCGGCGAGCGAAAAGAAAUCAGUUCAGCACUAAGUCACUUUGUCUAUAUGGCAAAUGUGAGAUGCAGUGUAUGGAGCGUCAAUAUUCUAGUAUGAGAAAUUAACGAUUUAAGUCCUUCUUAAAUGAGGCCAUUUACCCAUAGAGGGUGCCAGGCCCGUAUAACGUUAAUGAUUACUAGAUGAUGUUUCCAAAGAGUCGUGUUGCUUGAUAGUGCAGCACUAAGUGGGUGGUAAACUCCAUCUAAAACUAAAUAUAACCAUGAGACCGAUAGUAAACAAGUACCGUGAGGGAAAGUUGAAAAGAACUCUGAAUAGAGAGUUAAACAGUACGUGAAACUGCUUAGAGGUUAAGCCCGAUGAACCUGAAUAUCCGUUAUGGAAAAUUCAUCAUUAGAAUUGUAAUAUUUAAACAAUAUUAUGAUAAUAGUGUGCAUUUUUUCCAUAUAAGGACAUUGUAAUCUAUUAGCAUACCAAAUUUAUCAUAAAAUAUAACUUAUAGUUUAUUCAAAUUAAUUUGCUUGCAUUUUAACACAGAAUAAAUGUUAUUAAUUUGAUAAAGUGCUGAUAGAUUUAUAUGAAUACAGUGCGUUAAUUUUUCGGAAUUAUAUAAUGGCAUAAUUAUCAUUGAUUUUUGUGUUUAUUAUAUGCACUUGUAGGAUUAACAAUGCGAAAGAUUCAGGAUACCUUCGGGACCCGUCUUGAAACACGGACCAAGGAGUCUAACAUAUGUGCAAGUUAUUGGGAUAUAAACCUAAUAGCGUAAUUAACUUGACUAAUAAUGGGAUUAGUUUUUUAACUAUUUAUAGCUAAUUAACACAAUCCCGGGGCGUUCUAUAUAGUUAUGUAUAAUGAUAUUUAUAUUAUUUAUGCCUCUAACUGGAACGUACCUUGAGCAUAUAUGCUGUGACCCGAAAGAUGGUGAACUAUACUUGAUCAGGUUGAAGUCAGGGGAAACCCUGAUGGAAGACCGAAACAGUUCUGACGUGCAAAUCGAUUGUCAGAAUUGAGUAUAGGGGCGAAAGACCAAUCGAACCAUCUAGUAGCUGGUUCCUUCCGAAGUUUCCCUCAGGAUAGCUGGUGCAUUUUAAUAUUAUAUAAAAUAAUCUUAUCUGGUAAAGCGAAUGAUUAGAGGCCUUAGGGUCGAAACGAUCUUAACCUAUUCUCAAACUUUAAAUGGGUAAGAACCUUAACUUUCUUGAUAUGAAGUUCAAGGUUAUGAUAUAAUGUGCCCAGUGGGCCACUUUUGGUAAGCAGAACUGGCGCUGUGGGAUGAACCAAACGUAAUGUUACGGUGCCCAAAUUAACAACUCAUGCAGAUACCAUGAAAGGCGUUGGUUGCUUAAAACAGCAGGACGGUGAUCAUGGAAGUCGAAAUCCGCUAAGGAGUGUGUAACAACUCACCUGCCGAAGCAACUAGCCCUUAAAAUGGAUGGCGCUUAAGUUGUAUACCUAUACAUUACCGCUAAAGUAGAUGAUUUAUAUUACUUGUAAUAUAAAUUUUGAAACUUUAGUGAGUAGGAAGGUACAAUGGUAUGCGUAGAAGUGUUUGGCGUAAGCCUGCAUGGAGCUGCCAUUGGUACAGAUCUUGGUGGUAGUAGCAAAUAAUCGAAUGAGACCUUGGAGGACUGAAGUGGAGAAGGGUUUCGUGUGAACAGUGGUUGAUCACGAGUUAGUCGGUCCUAAGUUCAAGGCGAAAGCCGAAAAUUUUCAAGUAAAAUACAAAUGCCAAACAAAUAUAUAUAUUAUAUAAAAUCUAGCUAAAUUAAUAUACUUGAAUAAUUUUGAACGAAAGGGAAUACGGUUCCAAUUCCGUAACCUGUUGAGUAUCCGUUUGUUAUUAAAUAUGGGCCUCGUGCUCAUCCUGGCAACAGGAACGACCAUAAAGAAGCCGUCGAGAGAUAUCGGAAGAGUUUUCUUUUCUGUUUUAUAGCCGUACUACCAUGGAAGUCUUUCGCAGAGAGAUAUGGUAGAUGGGCUAGAAGAGCAUGACAUAUACUGUUGUGUCGAUAUUUUCUCCUCGGACCUUGAAAAUUUAUGGUGGGGACACGCAAACUUCUCAACAGGCCGUACCAAUAUCCGCAGCUGGUCUCCAAGGUGAAGAGUCUCUAGUCGAUAGAAUAAUGUAGGUAAGGGAAGUCGGCAAAUUAGAUCCGUAACUUCGGGAUAAGGAUUGGCUCUGAAGAUUGAGAUAGUCGGGCUUGAUUGGGAAACAAUAACAUGGUUUAUGUGCUCGUUCUGGGUAAAUAGAGUUUCUAGCAUUUAUGUUAGUUACUUGUUCCCCGGAUAGUUUAGUUACGUAGCCAAUUGUGGAACUUUCUUGCUAAAAUUUUUAAGAAUACUAAUUGGGUUAAACCAAUUAGUUCUUAUUAAUUAUAACGAUUAUCAAUUAACAAUCAAUUCAGAACUGGCACGGACUUGGGGAAUCCGACUGUCUAAUUAAAACAAAGCAUUGUGAUGGCCCUAGCGGGUGUUGACACAAUGUGAUUUCUGCCCAGUGCUCUGAAUGUCAAAGUGAAGAAAUUCAAGUAAGCGCGGGUCAACGGCGGGAGUAACUAUGACUCUCUUAAGGUAGCCAAAUGCCUCGUCAUCUAAUUAGUGACGCGCAUGAAUGGAUUAACGAGAUUCCUACUGUCCCUAUCUACUAUCUAGCG
RNAcentral lists this ribosomal RNA (3315 nucleotides) under Drosophila biarmipes. RNAcentral describes it as "eukaryotic LSU rRNA". The stretch from base 581 to 3315 matches the Rfam family "Eukaryotic large subunit ribosomal RNA", at positions 1 to 2361 of the family's 3401-position model. Lineage: Eukaryota; Metazoa; Arthropoda; Insecta; Diptera; Drosophilidae. The record is from RNAcentral.